RNAcentral lists this ribosomal RNA (484 nucleotides) under uncultured bacterium. Its description in RNAcentral is "partial 16S ribosomal RNA". It matches the Rfam family "Bacterial small subunit ribosomal RNA", at positions 28 to 523 of the family's 1533-position model. The record is from RNAcentral.
GAUGAACGCUGGCGGCGUGCUUAACACAUGCAAGUCGAAGGGUGAAGCAGGAGCUUGCUCUUGUGGAUCAGUGGCGAACGGGUGAGUAAAACGUGAGCAACCUGCCCCUGAAUCUGGGAUAAGCGCUGGAAACGGCGUCUAAGACUGGAUAUGUGAGGUGACCGCAUGGUCUGGAUCUGGAAAGAAUUUCGGUUGGGGAUGGGCUCGCGGCCUAUCAGCUUGUUGGGGAGGUAAUGGCUCACCAAGGCGUCGACGGGUAGCCGGGCUGAGAGGGUGACCGGCCAGACUGGGACUGAGACACGGCCCAGACUCCUACGGGAGGCAGCAGUGGGGAAUAUUGCACAAUGGGCGGAAGCCUGAUGCAGCAACGCCGCGUGAGGGAUGACGGCCUUCGGGUUGUAAACCUCUUUUAGCAGGGAAGAAGCGAAAGUGACGGUACCUGCAGAAAAAGCACCGGCUAACUACGUGCCAGCAGCCGCCGUAA